RNAcentral lists this ribosomal RNA (240 nucleotides) under uncultured bacterium. RNAcentral describes it as "partial 16S ribosomal RNA". It matches the Rfam family "Bacterial small subunit ribosomal RNA", at positions 94 to 334 of the family's 1533-position model. The record is from RNAcentral.
AGCAGCGGACGGGUGAGUAACGCGUGGGUAACCUGCCUCAUACAGGGGGAUAACAGUUGGAAACGGCUGCUAAUACCGCAUAAGCGCACAGUACCGCAUGGUACGGUGUGAAAAACUCCGGUGGUAUGAGAUGGACCCGCGUCUGAUUAGGUAGUUGGUGGGGUAACGGCCUACCAAGCCGACGAUCAGUAGCCGACCUGAGAGGGUGACCGGCCACAUUGGGACUGAGACACGGCCCAA